This is a long non-coding RNA of Sebastes umbrosus (honeycomb rockfish), 429 nucleotides long. RefSeq lists it as uncharacterized. The transcript has 4 exons. Lineage: Eukaryota; Metazoa; Chordata; Actinopteri; Perciformes; Sebastidae. The record is from RefSeq and is a predicted model, not a curated record.
UUCGGGGUCGUACCUGUCAGUCGUGGUGUGUUUGGGGUCGUACCUGUCGGAGGUCGUGGUGCAUUCGGGGGCGUACCUGUCGGUCGUGGUGCGUUCGGGGUCGUACCUGUCGGUCAUGGUGCGUUUGGGGUCAUACCUGUCGGUCGUGGUGCAUUUGGGGUCGUACCUGUCGGUCGUGGUGCGUUCGGGGUCGUACCUGUCAGUCGUGGUGCGUUCGGGGUCGUACCUGUCAGUCGUGGUGCAUUUGGGGUCAUACCUGUAGGUCGUGGUGUGUUCGGGGUCGUACCUGUCGGAGGUCGUGGUGCGUUCGGUGUCGUACCUGUCGGUCGUGGUGUGUUCAGGGUCGUACCUGUCGGAGGUCAUGGUGCGUUCGGGGUCGUACCUGUCAGUCGUGGUGUGUUUGGGGUCGUACCUGUCGGAGGUCGUGGU